Molecule: transfer RNA, 72 nt
Filed under: Rhynchobatus djiddensis (giant guitarfish)
Lineage: Eukaryota; Metazoa; Chordata; Chondrichthyes; Rhinopristiformes; Rhynchobatidae
Description: tRNA-Arg
Rfam family: tRNA
About the family: Transfer RNA (tRNA) molecules are approximately 80 nucleotides in length. Their secondary structure includes four short double-helical elements and three loops (D, anti-codon, and T loops). Further hydrogen bonds mediate the characteristic L-shaped molecular structure. tRNAs have two regions of fundamental functional importance: the anti-codon, which is responsible for specific mRNA codon recognition, and the 3' end, to which the tRNAs corresponding amino acid is attached (by aminoacyl-tRNA synthetases). tRNAs cope with the degeneracy of the genetic code in two manners: having more than one tRNA (with a specific anti-codon) for a particular amino acid; and 'wobble' base-pairing, i.e. permitting non-standard base-pairing at the 3rd anti-codon position.
Source: RNAcentral
AGGUAUUUAGUCCAACAAUCAAGACCAUUAAUUUCGACUUAAUAAAUUAUGGUGAAAAUCCAUAAAUACCUU